Molecule: long non-coding RNA, 817 nt
Filed under: Malus domestica (apple)
Lineage: Eukaryota; Viridiplantae; Streptophyta; Magnoliopsida; Rosales; Rosaceae
Description: long non-coding RNA (MDOM_LNC013267)
Source: RNAcentral
AAAAAUUCUAGAGGCGACACGUGGACCUUUGCCCAAGAAAGAUAAAAUUGCCCUCAAUAAAUGGGUAGGCUCCUCAGAUACUCCCACGCUCAGGUCACGCCUCUAAAGGUCACCAGCAGCUGAAUACGACUGCCCACAGCUCACUGCCCUUGGCAAGGAAAAGUCCAAGCAUUAAAGAUAAGGAUUAAUUACCCAAAUCCUAUCUUUAAUACAUUCCCAAUUGAAUAUUGACUCCAUUCAAGUAAGUAAUCCCUAUUUAAAUCAAUUACGGAUAAUUACUCCAUUAUCUCAAAAUAUGAUUUCCUAUUUAAUAUCAUGAGAAUAUUUCUCCAUAAACCUUGGCCAAUAGGAUGCUGCCAUGUGUAGGGUGAAACCCUAACAGUAUGGUUGGCCCUUUCCUCCUAUAUAUACCCCAUAUUCUACUAAAUUUCGGUAAGCUUUUACAACCCUAAAAAGCUCUAAACACUUUACUCUUCUCAAAGAAACUAACUUAGGCAUCGAAGAUCCAUUGGUCUAACCCCCCCACCUCAUGGGCGCACGAGGCUUAGGUCCUUGAUCAAAGGUAUUGAUUGUUUUGCAGGUGCAUUUUUGUCAAAGCUAGAGACGGCAGAAAUUUGCAUCGACAAAUUGGUGCUUUCAUUAGGAACUAAUUCAAAUACUUGAAGAAGCGUCUUGCAUUUGGUUUCUUGAACUUUCUGUUACGUUGAAUUUCUCACACAUCGUAUCAAUUAAUUUUUCUUGGAAAUGUUUAUUGAUAAAUGCCUAGAGUAAGGAACAAUGGUAGGAAAUUCAGAAACCAUGUACGUACAAGGAUUUG